AGAGUUGAUCAUGGCUCAGGAUGAACGCUAGCUACAGGCUAACACAUGCAAGUCGUGGGGCAGCAUGGUCAAAGCUUGCUUGACUGAUGGCGACCGGCGCACGGGUGAGUAACGCGUAUCCAACCUGGCCCAUAGUAGGGAAUAGCCCGGCGAAAGUCGGAUUAAUGCCCUAUGUUGUCCGAUGAAGACAUCUGAGUUGGACUAAAGAUUCAUCGCUAUGGGAUGGGGAUGCGUCCGAUUAGCUUGCCGGCGGGGCAACGGCCCACCGGGGCGACGAUCGGUAGGGGUUCUGAGAGGAAGGUCCCCCGCACUGGUACUGAGACACGGACCAGACUCCUACGGGAGGCAGCAGUGAGGAAUAUUGGUCAAUGGGCGGGAGCCUGAACCAGCCAAGUAAGCGUGCAGGAUGACGGCCCUACGGGUUGUAAACUGCUUUUAUACGGGGAUAAAGUGCGCCACGUGUGGUGUUUUGUAGGUACCGUAUGAAUAAGGACCGGCUAAUUCCGUGCCAGCCGCUGC
Molecule: ribosomal RNA, 519 nt
Filed under: uncultured bacterium
Lineage: Bacteria
Description: bacterial SSU rRNA
Rfam family: Bacterial small subunit ribosomal RNA
Source: RNAcentral